UACAGAGACUGCGAGCGUUAUUCGGAUUCACUGGGCGUAAAGGGUGCGCAGGCGGCCGAGUGUGUGAGGCGUGAAAGCCCGGGGCUUAACCCCGGAAUUGCACCUCAAACUACACGGCUAGAGCAUUGGAGAGGGUAGCAGAAUUCAUGGUGUAGCAGUGAAAUGCGUAGAUAUUGGGAGGAACACCAGUGGCGAAGGCGGCUCACUGGACCGGAACUGACGCUGAGGCGCGAAAGCGUGGGGAGCAAACGGG
This 253-nucleotide ribosomal RNA is filed under the name uncultured bacterium. Its description in RNAcentral is "partial 16S ribosomal RNA". It matches the Rfam family "Bacterial small subunit ribosomal RNA", at positions 524 to 776 of the family's 1533-position model. The record is from RNAcentral.